GGUCUGGUGGUGUAGUUGGUUAUCACGUCAGUCUAACAGCUCGAGGUCUCACCCUCAGCUGAGCACACUGAAGGUCUCCGGUUCAAGUCCGGGCUAGAUCA
RNAcentral lists this transfer RNA (101 nucleotides) under Colletotrichum navitas. RNAcentral's name for it is "tRNA-Val". It matches the Rfam family "tRNA". From Rfam's summary of the family: Transfer RNA (tRNA) molecules are approximately 80 nucleotides in length. Their secondary structure includes four short double-helical elements and three loops (D, anti-codon, and T loops). Lineage: Eukaryota; Fungi; Ascomycota; Sordariomycetes; Glomerellales; Glomerellaceae. The record is from RNAcentral.